This is a long non-coding RNA of Xiphophorus hellerii (green swordtail), 252 nucleotides long. RefSeq lists it as uncharacterized. The record is from RefSeq and is a predicted model, not a curated record. Lineage: Eukaryota; Metazoa; Chordata; Actinopteri; Cyprinodontiformes; Poeciliidae. The transcript has 3 exons.
UUGGUGAUACGCCUAAAUCAUAGGUGUCAAACUCAAGGCCCAGGGGCAAAAUCUGGCCCGCCGUGGCUUUUUACAUGGCCCUCUGGAUUCCAGAUUACAUCAAUAAGUCCUUCCAGUUUUUCACAAAUCUGCAAAAUUCACACAAAAUCAACAAAUUUCCAAUUUUUGUCCUAAUUUUACUGCAAAUGUUCUCAAAAUUGGUCAAAAACAUUGAAUCCGUAACUGAUACAGCGAGUCACGUUUCACAUCAUA